RNAcentral lists this ribosomal RNA (1187 nucleotides) under Enterobacter sp. enrichment culture clone SRB1. RNAcentral describes it as "bacterial SSU rRNA". It matches the Rfam family "Bacterial small subunit ribosomal RNA", at positions 307 to 1478 of the family's 1533-position model. The record is from RNAcentral. Lineage: Bacteria; Pseudomonadati; Pseudomonadota; Gammaproteobacteria; Enterobacterales; Enterobacteriaceae.
UCCACAAUCGGAAAUCGAGGCACACUCGUCUCCAGACUCCUACCGGAAGCCAGCAGUGGGGGAAUAUUUGCACAUUGGGCCGCAAGCCUGAUGCAGCCAUGCGCGGUGUAUGAGAAGGGCUUCCGGGUGUUAAGUACUUUCAGGCGGGGGAGGAAAGGUGUUGUGGUAAUAACCACAGCAAUUGACGUUACCCGCAGAAGAAGCACCGGGCUAACUCGUGCCAGCAGCCGCGGUAAUACGGAGGGGUGCAAGCGUUAAUCGGAAUUACUGGGCGUAAAGCGCACGCAGGCGGUCUGUCAAGUCGGAUGUGAAAUCCCCGGGCUCAACCUGGGAACUGCAUUCGAAACUGGCAGGCUAGAGUCUUGUAGAGGGGGGUAGAAUUCCAGGUGUAGCGGUGAAAUGCGUAGAGAUCUGGAGGAAUACCGGUGGCGAAGGCGGCCCCCUGGACAAAGACUGACGCUCAGGUGCGAAAGCGUGGGGAGCAAACAGGAUUAGAUACCCUGGUAGUCCACGCCGUAAACGAUGUCGAUUUGGAGGUUGUGCCCUUGAGGCGUGGCUUCCGGAGCUAACGCGUUAAAUCGACCGCCUGGGGAGUACGGCCGCAAGGUUAAAACUCAAAUGAAUUGACGGGGGCCCGCACAAGCGGUGGAGCAUGUGGUUUAAUUCGAUGCAACGCGAAGAACCUUACCUGGUCUUGACAUCCACAGAACUUUCCAGAGAUGGAUUGGUGCCUUCGGGAACUGUGAGACAGGUGCUGCAUGGCUGUCGUCAGCUCGUGUUGUGAAAUGUUGGGUUAAGUCCCGCAACGAGCGCAACCCUUAUCCUUUGUUGCCAGCGGUCCGGCCGGGAACUCAAAGGAGACUGCCAGUGAUAAACUGGAGGAAGGUGGGGAUGACGUCAAGUCAUCAUGGCCCUUACGACCAGGGCUACACACGUGCUACAAUGGCGCAUACAAAGAGAAGCGACCUCGCGAGAGCAAGCGGACCUCAUAAAGUGCGUCGUAGUCCGGAUUGGAGUCUGCAACUCGACUCCAUGAAGUCGGAAUCGCUAGUAAUCGUAGAUCAGAAUGCUACGGUGAAUACGUUCCCGGGCCUUGUACACACCGCCCGUCACACCAUGGGAGUGGGUUGCAAAAGAAGUAGGUAGCUUAACCUUCGGGAGGGCGCUUACCACUUGGAUACAACUGU